UCCAGGUUAUCCCUGGCGGUCUCCUGCGAGUUCCACCUUUCGGUAUGGCAACACAGGACGAGGGUUGCGCUCGUUGCGGGACUUAACCCAACAUCUCACGACACGAGCUGACGACAGCCAUGCAGCACCUCGACUCCGGUCCCUUGCGGGAAAGUCCUGUUUCCAGGAUUGUCCAAAGCCGUUCGAGCCUAGGUAAGGUUCUUCGCGUUGCGUCGAAUUAAACCACAUGCUCCACCGCUUGUGCGGGCCCCCGUCAAUUCCUUUGAGUUUCAGCCUUGCGACUGUACUCCCCAGGCGGCAUAUUUAACGCGUUAGCUCCGGCACGGAUCAACUGAAUGACCCACACCAAAUAUGCAUCGUUUAGGGCGUGGACUAC
RNAcentral lists this unclassified non-coding RNA (376 nucleotides) under uncultured Bryobacterales bacterium. RNAcentral describes it as "contains 16S-23S intergenic spacer region". Lineage: Bacteria; Pseudomonadati; Acidobacteriota; Terriglobia; Bryobacterales. The record is from RNAcentral.